RNAcentral lists this long non-coding RNA (1513 nucleotides) under Hordeum vulgare. RNAcentral describes it as "long non-coding RNA (HVUL_LNC009096)". Lineage: Eukaryota; Viridiplantae; Streptophyta; Magnoliopsida; Poales; Poaceae. The record is from RNAcentral.
UCAUGUUGCGUUUGCAUUUGUUGUUACACCUUCUAUCUCCGUUACUACUUAGUAGAUCCCAUAGCAUGGGAUAGGAUUUGGAAUUAGCUUUCUUGCUAUUUACAUAUGUUAUCCGCGUGCAUGAUCGCAGGUCUCUCUAUCUUAUGAGCCACUACAACAAAAUGUAUCAAUUUCAGUGUGAUAUACUAGCCAUCAAGGCUUGUGGCUUAUGUUAUGGCUAUAAAGUCACACUUGUAAUUUCCAGGCUUGCUGCCUGACCCUGCCAGCUGAUCAAUCCACACGGUCGCACGACGCCUUGACCAAGUUGGCAACUCCCCGUACCAGACAUGUCACCACUGCCUCUCCUCUGUUCGGUGCUUCUCUUCAGGUGUGCUUUAUGUUUAUGCAUGAAUUAGCCAUAUGUUCAUGUUUAUCAGGACCCAUCAAGUUGUCCUAUCCAAAUUCCGAGGGUAGAUUUAAAUAAAUCAGAAUAAGAACUCUGAAGGCUUGAACAAUCCUUUUCACAACGGCCUGAGAUGAAAUUGUGUGUUUUAUCUGAUAGGUUCCUCUCCAUUUAAUUAUUAUCAUUGUGUGUUGAUUAUAUGAGGUGUUAGCUCUUCCUGGACCUCUCAUCAUUUCACAUGUAGUUAAUGAAGUUUAGUGGGAAGCAUCAAUAAAUAAUAUAUUUUAUAAUCUUAGAUAGUUGUUGAGGCAUACAUGCUGGUUCUGAGGUUAAAAUAUAUGUUUUCCUAAUCUUCGUAUUGGUGGACGUAUUCGCUCAGGUGCUCUCUGGUGGCAGGGCGAUCAAUGCUGGUUCUGCUAGAGUUCCUCCAUUGCCCCGGGUGAGGCCUCAGGUCCCCGACUCCUGCAUCUGAUGCAUUAGCUUGAAAUAAGCCAUUAGCGUAUGGGGUGGAGGUGGCUCUGACAGCAUGAGGUUGUGGUUUAUUGGGCUUAUAGUUUUGACCUCAUUUAGUAAUAUGGAAUGCAUGUUUUGUUUUCUGCUAUAGAGUUUUUUUCUACACACUAUGAGCUAUAUUUAAUGUUAUUAUCAUCCUUGUCAGCACACACUUCCAAAGAUGUCCACUACAUUAUUACUGUAACAAAUUUUAUGCAGCAGUAUAGAAGGAAUUACUGUGUGAAGCAAUUGCACGCGUAUUUGGAGGAGGGAUGCAUCCAGUUGACUCCCAAAAACCAGGGCUUCAGAGUGAAGCUCAAAUGGCAGGGGCUAAAACUCUAAUCGUUUCAUACAAAAUAUGUUAACUUCAUAUGGGCCUGAACUAUAGGAUUUCUUGCUUUAUUGAAUAAUCUUGUUGUUCAUAAUCUAGCUAGCUAGGUACAACGAUUAUAGGAAAUGUGGAUCUUUGUCUCUUCUGCCGCUGUCGUCCCAAGGAGAGGGGGGGUGAACCUCCGCCGCUCGCCAUUAACCCGUCGGUCGAGAGAAGAAGAGAAAGGAAGGGAGGGAAAGAGAAAGGGAUAGGGGAGAAGUUGGCAACUCCCCGUACCAGACAUGUCACCACUGCCUCUCCUCUGUUCG